This 253-nucleotide ribosomal RNA is filed under the name uncultured bacterium. RNAcentral's name for it is "partial 16S ribosomal RNA". It matches the Rfam family "Bacterial small subunit ribosomal RNA", at positions 524 to 776 of the family's 1533-position model. The record is from RNAcentral.
UACGUAGGGUGCGAGCGUUGUCCGGAAUUACUGGGCGUAAAGCGUGCGCAGGCGGUUGUGUAAGUCUGUCGUGAAAUCCCCGGGCUCAACCUGGGAAUUGCGAUGGAGACUGCACGGCUAGAGUGUGUCAGAGGGGGGUAGAAUUCCACGUGUAGCAGUGAAAUGCGUAGAUAUGUGGAGGAACACCGAUGGCGAAGGCAGCCCCCUGGGAUAACACUGACGCUCAUGCACGAAAGCGUGGGGAGCAAACAGG